Non-coding RNA from Pelobates cultripes (western spadefoot toad), 98 nucleotides. Lineage: Eukaryota; Metazoa; Chordata; Amphibia; Anura; Pelobatidae. The record is from the annotation of a GenBank genome assembly.
AUACAUGCACCUUGAAACCGACCGUCUCUAUGGUCUUCCCUGCUUCAGUCUCUGUACAGAAGCAGGGAAAGCCAUAGAGACGGACAGUUUUCAAACAC